Molecule: long non-coding RNA, 7685 nt
Filed under: Homo sapiens (human)
Lineage: Eukaryota; Metazoa; Chordata; Mammalia; Primates; Hominidae
Description: HSALNT0272762
Source: RNAcentral
ACAAAGCCGCUCACAGUACAUCUCUGAAGUUAACGCGCUCAGAUUUUAACUUUUCAACCUGUGCCGUGCCACAAACUGGGUCACUGAAAACCGCGGAAGUUUAUUCCCCCCCGACCAGGGGGGGCUGCGCCCUCAGGGAGCUGAGCGGUCCCCGUGAGGCCCCUUCGCUGCCUGCACAGUUCAGCUGUGCCGUCCCUAGCGCGGCAGUCCCUGGACCUGGUGUGCAGAGGAAUCGUGGUAAGAAAUGUGCACACAUCAUCCAGGCAGACGGUCCCGUGAGUCUGUCCAACAGAAAAGAGGAAGGCGAGGCGGAGUCCUGAAGGCGAGGCUUGCAGAGGCGGGAGAACCAGGCAGAAGGCCACGGGCCUGCCGAGCUCCCAGCAGCGACGGGGGCGGCGCCCUCAACACGCCGGCGCCCUAGGAAGGCCGAGUCUGUGUUCGCGCUGCCUGCGGUGUGUGGCAGCUGCGCGCUCCUUACCUGUGGGGCAGAGUUGGCCGGAGCCACUGCCUGAAGAAACUCGGCUCUGUCCUCCGUUCCGGGGAGCGGAAUGCGGCCAGUGGAGAUCUUUGUAAAGAAGAUGCUGAAUGUGGAUGUAGAAAAGAUGCAGACCCUGAGGCUGAAGAGGGAGGAAGCUGGAAACUCCGUGCGGGUAACUGAAUGCUAAGGCUGCUUCCUGGCCUCCAGCGGUGUCUGAGGAAAGGAGCAUAGCUGCAAAUCCAAGGAUACACAAAGGAGCCAUGCUGCCAAGUAAGAGCCCGUCUUCCAUCCAUUGCUCUCAAGCACUAUCUACCAGAUCGCAGCCCAAACUACAACAACAACAAAAAAGUCACUCUGCCACUUCUCCCUGCUGAUAAACCAAGGGCAAGAAUUCAACCACAAAGACCCUUACAGAGCCUUAGCCCUCUGAAAACUUCCGGAUACAAAGCCAACUGACUAUGCUAGAUUACCAUCACAGUUAAAGGAACCCAGCCUUCUCAGAUGGGAAAAAAAUCAGAAUAAGAACUCUGGCAAUUCAGAAAGCCAGUGUCCCCUCACCUCCAAACAGGCCCACUAGGUUCCCAGCAAUGGUUAAUCAGUCUGAAAUGUCUGAAAUGGCAGACAUAGAAUUCAGAAUCUGGAUGGCUAGGAAGCUUAUCAAGACCAAGAGAAAGUUGAAACUCAAUCCAAGGAUGCAAAGCAAUUCAGUAAAAUGAUUCAAGAGUUGAAAGACUAAGAAGCCGUUUUAAGAAAGACCCAAAAUUGAACUUCUUGAACUGAAAAAUUCGCUACGAGAAUUUCAAACUACAAGCAGAACUAUUAACAGCAGAAUAGACCAAGCAGAGAAAAGAACCUCAGGGCUUGAAGACAGUUAAUUAAGUCAACUCAGUCAGGCAAAAAUAAAGAGAAAAAAUAAAGAAAAAUGAACAAAACCUCUGAGAAAUAUGCAAUUAUGCAAAGAAACCAAAUCUAUGACUCAUUGGCAUUCUUGAGAAAGAAAAAUAAUAAGCAACUUGGAAAGUAUAUUUGAGGACAUAGUCCAUGAAAAUUUCCCUAAACUCAUUAGAGAGGUUGACCUGCAAAUCCAAGAAAUAUAGAGGACCCUAGCCAGAUACUAUACAAGACAUCCAUCCCCAAGGCACGUGGUCAUCAGAUUCACUGAAGUGAACACAAAAGAAAACAUCUUAAAGGCAGCAAGAAAGAUGGGGAAUGUAACUUACAAAGGGAACCCAUCAGGCUAAUAGCAGACCUUUCGGCAGAAACCUUAUAAGCCAGAAGAGAUUGGGGGCCUAUUUUUAGCAUCUUGAAGAAAAAAAAUUCUAACCAAGAAUUUCAUAUGCUGCCAAACCAAGCUUCUUAAAUGAAGAUGAAAUAAAAUCCUUCUCAGAAAAGCAAAUUCUGAGGGAGUAUAUUUAAACUAGACCAGACUUACAAGACAUCCCCAGAAGUGGACCUGGUGAGGGAGUCCUCAGAUCCUCAGGUCCCCGGUGAGGGGGACCUGGUGAGGGAGUGCUAAACAUAGAAUUGAAAGAGCCUGCUACCACAAAAGACACUUCAGACCAUAGCCCACAAGAACUAUAAAGCAACUGCGUAAUUAAGUCUACAUAACAGCCAGUUAACAACACAAUGACAAAAUUAAAAUCAUUCCCAUCAAUAGUAACCUUGAAUAUAAAUGGGCUUAAUGCCCACUUAAAAGUCACAGAGUGGAAAGCCUGAUAAAAAGACAAGCCCCAAAUGUCAGUUUGCUUCAAGAAAUCCAUGUCACAUAUAAUAACACCCACAGGCUCAAAGUAAAAGAAUGGAGAAAAUUCUACCAUGCAAACUGAGAGGAAAAAAGAGCAGGAGUCACUAUACUUAUAUCAGAUAAAACAGACUUUAAAUAAAAAAUCAAGAAGGACAAUAAAAGGCAUUACAUAAUGAUAAAGGGUACAAUCCAACAAGAAGCCCUAACUGUUCUAAAUAUAUAUGCACCCAACAUUGGAGCACCCAGAUUCAUAAAAUAAGUUCUUCUUGGCCAACGAAAAACCUUAGACAAACACAAAAUACUAGUGGGAGGCUUGAACAUCCUACUGACAGCGUUAGAUCAUCAGGGCAGAAAGUUAACAAUGAAACUCUGGAUUUAAACUUGACACUUGACCAACUGGAUCUCAGACAGCUACAGGACACUACACCCAACAACCAAAAAAUAUACAUUUUUCUUGUCUGCACACAGAAUGUAUUCUAAGAUCAACCACAUGCUUGAUCAUAAAAAGUCUCAAUAAAUUCAAAAUGAUUGAAGUCAUACCAAAGCACAUUCUUGAAUCACAGUACAAUAAUAGUAGAAAUCAAUAUCAAGAUUGCCUCAAACUAUACAAAUACAUGAAAUUAACUAACUUACUCUAGCAUAACUCCUGGGUCAACAUCAAAAUUGAGGCAGAAAUCAAAAAAAUCGUUUGAAAUUAAUGAAAAUAGGGACACAACUUACCAAAAUCUCUGGAUGCAGCCAAGGCAGUGUUAAGAGGAAAGUUUAUAGCCCUAAAUGUCUUCAUCAAGAAGUUAAAAAAAUCUCAAAUUAACAAUCUAUCUUUGGAAAGGAAGAAACUAGGUCAACUAAGGGAAAGGAACUAGGGAGGAGAAAAUCCAAAACUAGCAGAAGAAAAACCACUGAAAUUAGAGAAGAACUUAAUGAAAUUGACAUGUAAAAAUCCAUACAAAAGAUCAAUAAAACCAAGACUUGGUUUUUCAAAAAAAUAAAAUCGAUAGGCCACUAGCCAGUUUAACAAAGAAAAAGAAAGAGAAGAUCCAAGAAAGCACAAUCAGAAAUGAAAAAGGUGGUUUUUUUUUUUAUCAGUAUCAUAACUGGUCCCACAGAAAUACAAAAGACCUUCAGAAACUAUUAUGAAUAACUCUAAGCACACAAAUUAGAAAAUCUAGAGGAAAUGGAUACUUUCCUGUAAGCACACGAUUUUCCAAGAUUGAAUCAGGAAAAGACUGUUAACGUGAAUAGACCAAUAUCAACUUCUGAAAUGGAAUCAGUAAUGAAAAACCUACCAACCAAAAAAGCCCUGGACCAGUUGGUUUCCCAGCUGAAUUCUACCAGACCGAAAGCAAUCCAACACAAAACUACAUGACUCAGAAAAUAUUGUAUAAAUUGUAGUUUAUCGUAGAAUUGUUUAAGGGCUCAAAUCCCUAGAGAUUCUAAUUCUGUUUCCUCUAAUUACCCCUCCUUCCUCACCUGCAUUUACAGAGAACACACAUUGGGCAAAAUAUGUGUCUGUCCUACUGGGAAAGUUUAUCAACUCUACAUCAUAGAACUGAGAACAAAUGCGGGGAGAGCUAAUGUUUUACCAAGAUGAACUUAACCAAACAAAGAGAUAGAAAUAAAAUUCAAAGCCAAGAGCCUUACGUAUAGAUAAAAAUGGAGGAAUGAGAACAUAGCAUUUAUCCAGGAAUCAUGAGUUAAUCAUGUUACCAGGCUUUAGGGCAAGGGGCUGGGUGAACAGUCACUAUAAUAUUACAUGCAUAGUUCUUUGAAAAUGUCAAGGAAAAGGCCGGGCGCAGUGGCUCACACCUGUAAUCCCAGCACUUUGGGAGGCCAAGGCAGGCAGAUCACGAGGUCAGGAGAUCGAGACCAUCCUGGCUAACAUAGUGAAACCCUGUCUCUACUAAAAAUACAAAAAAUAAAAAAUUAGCCAGGCGUGGUGGCGGGCACCUGUAGUCCCAGCUACUCAGGAGACUGAGGCAGGAUAAUGGCAUGAACCCAGGAGGCAGAGGUUGCAGUGAGGCGAGAUCACGCCACUGCACUCCAGCCUGGGUGACAGAGCGAGACUCUGUCUCAAAAAAAAAAAAAAAAAAGAAAAUGUCAAGGAAAACUAUUUCCCAUGGAUUUUUAACUGCUUGAAUUCAGGGCAAAGAAAACAAGAAAACUUGAGUGUAAUAUUAACAAAGACCCUUAAAAAAGAUGUUAUAUAAAAAGAAAAAUCACAGUCCAGUGAAAAAUACAUGAAAAAUUCUAAAUAACAUUUUAGCAAACAAAAUCUAGUGAUUAUUAAAAGUGUAACACAAAAAAGGGAGAUUUUUCCCAAGAAUGUAAUAGUAGUCAAACAUUUUAUCAAGACAUUUAAAAAUAAGCAUAAAAAUAGAUGUCUGAGUGCUAUUUAUAAAAUUCAAGAUCUAUUCCUCCCAUCCAAAUACUAACCAGGCCUGACCCUGCUUAGCUUCAUGAGAUCAGACAAGAUCAGGCGUGUUCAGAGUGGUGCAGCCAUAUUCAAGAAGAACUAAAAAGUGUAAUAAAAUAAGAACACAAGACUAUCACUGAAAAGAAGUUCACAAUUUCAUGCACACACAUGAAAAAGUUAUAGGCCAAAAGCAAUAUAGACAUGAGAGUCUAGGGGAGGUUAACAGCAUCCAGUCUGGAGUCCGAGUACUUGAGAGUUAUUCUAAGUUUCUCAUUUCUCUGUGAUCUUGAGCAAGUUAUGAAAUUCUCUUUGCCUCAAUUCUUUAUAUUGUUAAAUCAAGUUUAGACUAAAGCUGCCUUUUAACGUAUUUUAAGUUCAGCCUAAAGGCUUCUCUGUACAUAGUGAACUUUAACCUAAAUGAAGAUGUAAACAGACUGAAGCCUACUUUUGUGCCAAUCACCAAGUUUUGGCCAAUCAAGGGCUAACUGUUCAAACUAUGUUCAAAUAAGGCAAAUGCCUGCCGAGCUGCAACCAAUUUGGUUGUUUCUGUACCUCACAUCUGUUUUCUGCACGUCACUUUCCUUUUUCUGCCUGUAAGUCUUCUACCACGUGGCUGCGCUAGAGUCUCUGAGCCUACUCUGGCUCAGGAGGCUGUCUGAUUCACAAAUUGUUCUUUGCUAAAUUAAACUCUUAAAUUUAAUUCAGCCAAAGUUUUUUCAUUUAAUAGGUGGCAUCAGAAGUGAGAUCCAAAGUAGAUCCUCUGAUGACCCCCAUGAGUGCUGAGUGACUAAGCAAGGUACCCACUGGACCCACUGAGGACUAAGCUCUGAUAUUUUUUAUCUUGCUCAAAUUCCUAUCUAAGGGGUCGGAUUGGAUCUGAUAAUUAGCUGGCUUGGAUCCAGUUAUAGGCCUCUUAUGUCUGACUGGGACAGAAAGAAACCAGUAGUAAAUGGCAAUAUUGCAGGGGGUGUAAAAUUUGGCUUUUGGAAAUUCAUGGGGAUUUUUCUAUUCUCCUCUUUGUUUCAUUUUUAUUGCAGGCUUAGAUAGGGAAAAAAAUGAUUAGCCAAGUUGAUUAAGGGAACCUGAUCUCCAAAGCCAAUAUUUCAGGUAAAGAUGGAACCUUUAGUUUUGGAAGAACUGAGUACCUUCUGGCUUAUACAUGCUGUGAACCCCAAAUAUUUGAGACAGGCCUCCAUUAAUAUAGAAAGUUUAUUUUGCCAAGGUUGAGGAUGCGCACCUGUGACAGCCUCAGGAGGUCCUGAUGACAAGUGCCCAAGGUGGUCAGAGCACAGUUUGGUUUUAUACAUUUUAGGGAGACAUGAGACAUCAAUCAACAUUUGUAAGAUGAAUAUUGGUUAGGUCUGGAAAGCCAGGAGGGGGCUUCCAGGUCAUAGGUAGAUAAGAAACAAAUGGUUGCAUUCUUUUGAGUUUCUGAUGAACCUCUCCAAAGGAGGCAAUCAGAUAUGCAUUCAUCUCAGUGAGCUUAGGAGUGACUUUGAAUUAGAAUGGGAGGCAGGUUUGCCCUAAGCAGUUCCCAGCUUGACUCUUCCCUUUAGCUUAGUGAUUUUGGGGCCCCAAGAUUUAUUUUCCUUUCACGAUGCAUAAGUAUGAGGCCUCAGAAGCAGCAAAGUCUUACAGAAAUGGUGAAAUCUUACUAAAGAUAAUUUACCAUGGAAGGUUCCAAAUAAACAACACUGCACUGAAGAAAUGCAUUUGAAAAUGAGGCCUCCUGAAUUAGUCUCAUCUAGGGAUGCCUAUUGAUAUGCAGAAGCUUCUAAAAAGAUUUCAAUCUUUUUAUUUAAAGAUUUUAUGAAAGGCAAAUAAAAAGCUUAAGAAACUAAUUGAUAAGAAAAAUUAAAUCUGCUAAUCUUUGCUUAGUUACUAUUCCACCCUAAAGGUGGAAAGAAAGCUAUCCUAGAUAAGGUAUUUAUAAAAGUUAGGCCGUCAGGUAAAAUAGGCUUGCUUCUUGUUCCGACCUAUCCAUGCGGGAGGCCAGCCAUAGAGGAUGCUUUUUUGACUCUGUUCCCUAAUGGGUUCCACCCUGAACUCAGUAAUUUUAACUAAGAAACAGUGGUUACAUUAAAAAGGACACCCUAUUGAAAUAAAAUGCACCUUUCUGGAAUUUAAUUGGCUACCUUGAAACUCUUUUGUAAAGGAAAUUUACAUCUAUAAAGGAAAUCUCAAUUUGUAGGGAUGUCUGCCAAUGUACAAUAGAAACUCUAACCUUUUUUUAAAUUUAAAUAAUCAGUAAUGCCUUUGUUUAAGGUGCUUUUCUGUCUAUCUUAAGUGAACUUUUACUUGAGCAGUUUUUUUUUUUCCCUGGGUUUGAGCAAAUGAUGAAUCAAUACUUAGGCCGAGAAUCUUAGCUCUGUGCUUAUGAAAUAUACAUGGUUUUUUUGUUUCACCUAAGGGAUUGUGUCAAUUUCCCUCUCAUAGCAACUGGGAAUUGUGGCAAGUUCUCUCUUUAGAAAUGCAAAUUUGUUGCCUAGUUAACAAUUGCUUAGGGAAAUGAAACAGGUAAUAGAAAGAUUGAUACACCAAAUGGAGAAAAGAAAAAGUAUUUAAAAACUGGCAAAAGCUAUAGGAUCCGCUUCUGUUCGUUUGUAUGUCUAUAUAUGUUAUGUGUAUGUGGUAUCUGGUAAAUAAAGCUAGUUUUUAAUUCGUUCAUAAAAUAAAAAUGGCUUCAAAACUAUCAGUUAAAUAUAAUUAGAUACUCGCUUGAUUUGAUUGUGAGCUUAUGUCUUUGGUUUAGAGUCUCUGGAUUCAGGGGUCUGGAUAGGUGGCCAAGAUGACAUCUGGAGACGCAUUCUUGGUGCCUAGACCACCAGCUACAAGCCCAAUAUGGCCCCUUCUUCCUCUGCUUUCCCUGUUUUGACUCCUGGCUAUUGUGGGAGGGGUUGGAUUCUCCAAGUAUAGCCUUCACAGCUCUGGCUUCUGUUCUGAUGGACUCAGAGAGGCCCUGAUCUUCAUAGUCCUCAUGGGUGGCACAUGGCUUCUUGGGACCUAGAAUGGCUGGGAGGAGACAUUAGGGAGGCUGCCUAUGUCAUAGC